GUCACACCAUACAUCAGCGACUAGAAUCUGAAUAAUCUUAUACAGUCUUAGUUCAAUCUGUAGUCUCAUUAUCAAGAGUCACCAUGAUCAGAGUUCUAGUCUUUUUUCAGUCACUCUACUGGAUUCAAGGAGUUGCAGGAACAAAGGAUGUCUUUCAGCCCAGUAUACUCUGGGCUAAAAUGGGUCAAUCAGCCACAAUAAACUGCUCACACAGCAAAGAUGCAAAUCAUAAUCAGAUGUACUGGUAUCGUCAGUAUCAUGGAGAGAGUAUGGAGCUCAUAGUGUUUACUACCAGCUUUGGCACUCAAGACUUUGGAAAAUUCAGCCAAAGUAAAUUCUCAGCUAUUAAAACAGUUCCUGAGAGCGGCUCAUUCACAGUGAAAGACGUGGAUUAUAAUGACAGCGCUGUGUAUUUCUGUGCCGUGAGAGAACACAGUGCUAUAACCACAGGGCAGAGCUGUACAAAAACACACCGUGUGUCUCUGGAGACACCUAAUGGGUGCUGAUUGACAUAAAAGUCAUUGGAAUAACAAUAGGAACACUAGCAGAUGUUUAACAUGUCCUGUAAUGUAACAUGUUAUGACAUG
Molecule: non-coding RNA, 587 nt
Organism: Ictalurus furcatus (blue catfish)
Lineage: Eukaryota; Metazoa; Chordata; Actinopteri; Siluriformes; Ictaluridae
Source: the annotation of a RefSeq genome assembly